RNAcentral lists this ribosomal RNA (119 nucleotides) under Pteropus alecto (black flying fox). The record is from RNAcentral. Lineage: Eukaryota; Metazoa; Chordata; Mammalia; Chiroptera; Pteropodidae.
GUCUACGGCCAUGCCACCCUGAACAUGCCCAAUCCCGACUGAUCUCGGAAGCUAAGCAGGGUCGGGUCUGGUUAGUACUUGGAUGGGAGACCACCCAGGAGGACCAGGUGCCGUAGGAG